AUUGAACGCUGGCGGUAUGCUUAACACAUGCAAGUCGAACGGUAACAGGCCUUCGGGCGCUGACGAGUGGCGGACGGGUGAGUAACGCGUAGGAAUCUGCCUCAUAGUGGGGGACAACGUGGGGAAACUCACGCUAAUACCGCAUACGCCCUACGGGGAAAGCGGGGGAUCUUCGGACCUCGCGCUAUGAGAUGAGCCUGCGUUAGAUUAGCUAGUUGGUAGGGUAAAGGCCUACCAAGGCGACGAUCUAUAGCUGGUCUGAGAGGACGAUCAGCCACACUGGGACUGAGACACGGCCCAGACUCCUACGGGAGGCAGCAGUGGGGAAUAUUGGACAAUGGGCGCAAGCCUGAUCCAGCAAUGCCGCGUGGAUGAAG
Molecule: ribosomal RNA, 377 nt
Filed under: uncultured bacterium
Lineage: Bacteria
Description: bacterial SSU rRNA
Rfam family: Bacterial small subunit ribosomal RNA
Source: RNAcentral